This 256-nucleotide ribosomal RNA is filed under the name Armillaria ostoyae. Its description in RNAcentral is "partial 26S ribosomal RNA". It matches the Rfam family "Eukaryotic large subunit ribosomal RNA", at positions 3141 to 3401 of the family's 3401-position model. The record is from RNAcentral. Lineage: Eukaryota; Fungi; Basidiomycota; Agaricomycetes; Agaricales; Physalacriaceae.
UCCGUGCUAGAAACGAUGAUGUUGGUGUCGCACAUUAGACUUGUGUUUAAAUAGAGCUUUGCUCGUGAACCAAAUAUGGUGGGCUGGGUUGUCUUUGCGGAAACGCUUAGGCGACUUGUCUACGAAUUGUAAUCAUAAUAUGGGCGGCGGUGAAUCCUUUGCAGACGACUUGAAUGGGAACGGGGUACUGUAAGUGGUAGAGUAGCCUUGUUGCUACGAUCCACUGAGGUUAAGCCCUUGUUCUAAAGAUUUGUUC